Molecule: ribosomal RNA, 253 nt
Filed under: uncultured bacterium
Lineage: Bacteria
Description: partial 16S ribosomal RNA
Rfam family: Bacterial small subunit ribosomal RNA
Source: RNAcentral
UACAGAGGUCUCAAGCGUUGUUCGGAUUCAUUGGGCGUAAAGGGCGCGUAGGCGGCGGGGUAAGUCGGGUGUGAAAUCUCAGGGCUCAACCCUGAAACUGCACUCGAUACUGCUCUGCUUGAGGACUGGAGAGGAGACUGGAAUUUACGGUGUAGCGGUGAAAUGCGUAGAUAUCGUAAGGAAGACCAGUGGCGAAGGCGGGUCUCUGGACAGUUCCUGACGCUGAGGCACGAAGGUCAGGGGAGCAAACGGG